Molecule: ribosomal RNA, 472 nt
Filed under: Pseudomonas sp.
Lineage: Bacteria; Pseudomonadati; Pseudomonadota; Gammaproteobacteria; Pseudomonadales; Pseudomonadaceae
Description: bacterial SSU rRNA
Rfam family: Bacterial small subunit ribosomal RNA
Source: RNAcentral
UCGAGCGGUAGAGAGAGCUUGCUUCUCUUGAGAGCGGCGGACGGGUGAGUAAUGCCUAGGAAUCUGCCUGGUAGUGGGGGAUAACGUUCGGAAACGGACGCUAAUACCGCAUACGUCCUACGGGAGAAAGCAGGGGACCUUCGGGCCUUGCGCUAUCAGAUGAGCCUAGGUCGGAUUAGCUAGUUGGUGGGGUAAUGGCUCACCAAGGCGACGAUCCGUAACUGGUCUGAGAGGAUGAUCAGUCACACUGGAACUGAGACACGGUCCAGACUCCUACGGGAGGCAGCAGUGGGGAAUAUUGGACAAUGGGCGAAAGCCUGAUCCAGCCAUGCCGCGUGUGUGAAGAAGGUCUUCGGAUUGUAAAGCACUUUAAGUUGGGAGGAAGGGCGUUACCUAAUACGUGAUGGUUUGACGUUACCGACAGAAUAGCACCGGCUACUUCUGUGCAGCAGCCGCGUAAUACAGAGGGUGC